UAAAGGUGUUGCUCCAGACAAAAUAAGACGAACUCUACCUCCUAAACCCUCCUUGACCCGAUGAUGAUUAGCAAAGCCGUAAUCCAUGUGUAUGCACAAAACAGUUGUACAUAUUAUCUACCACACCUCACUAAAUUUAGAAUUUUGUACAUAUUAUCCACCACACCUUACUAACUUGUAGAAUUUUGAAAGCCGAUAAAUAAAAGCUCACCAAUUUCGGUAGGGAUUAUGGCUAGGACAUGAGCGUUUCUUUCUUCUAUCAAGGAUGUUUCAGAUGAACUAUCAUUCAACCCCUCAAGUCUCCAAUUUCAGAAUAGUUGUGAGCCACUGAAAGACGAACAAGCUCAGAAUUCGAGGCAACAUCCAAACGACAUUAAGGGCUCCUGUUCUUGAGAUAGUUUAUCGU
Molecule: small RNA, 406 nt
Filed under: Vigna angularis var. angularis
Lineage: Eukaryota; Viridiplantae; Streptophyta; Magnoliopsida; Fabales; Fabaceae
Description: Non-protein coding transcript
Source: RNAcentral